Molecule: ribosomal RNA, 1535 nt
Filed under: Klebsiella quasipneumoniae subsp. quasipneumoniae
Lineage: Bacteria; Pseudomonadati; Pseudomonadota; Gammaproteobacteria; Enterobacterales; Enterobacteriaceae
Description: bacterial SSU rRNA
Rfam family: Bacterial small subunit ribosomal RNA
Source: RNAcentral
UUGAAGAGUUUGAUCAUGGCUCAGAUUGAACGCUGGCGGCAGGCCUAACACAUGCAAGUCGAGCGGUAGCACAGAGAGCUUGCUCUCGGGUGACGAGCGGCGGACGGGUGAGUAAUGUCUGGGAAACUGCCUGAUGGAGGGGGAUAACUACUGGAAACGGUAGCUAAUACCGCAUAAUGUCGCAAGACCAAAGUGGGGGACCUUCGGGCCUCAUGCCAUCAGAUGUGCCCAGAUGGGAUUAGCUAGUAGGUGGGGUAACGGCUCACCUAGGCGACGAUCCCUAGCUGGUCUGAGAGGAUGACCAGCCACACUGGAACUGAGACACGGUCCAGACUCCUACGGGAGGCAGCAGUGGGGAAUAUUGCACAAUGGGCGCAAGCCUGAUGCAGCCAUGCCGCGUGUGUGAAGAAGGCCUUCGGGUUGUAAAGCACUUUCAGCGGGGAGGAAGGCGAUAAGGUUAAUAACCUUGUCGAUUGACGUUACCCGCAGAAGAAGCACCGGCUAACUCCGUGCCAGCAGCCGCGGUAAUACGGAGGGUGCAAGCGUUAAUCGGAAUUACUGGGCGUAAAGCGCACGCAGGCGGUCUGUCAAGUCGGAUGUGAAAUCCCCGGGCUCAACCUGGGAACUGCAUUCGAAACUGGCAGGCUAGAGCCAGGUGUAGCGGUGAAAUGCGUAGAGAUCUGGGUGAAAUGCGUAGAGAUCUGGAGGAAUACCGGUGGCGAAGGCGGCCCCCUGGACAAAGACUGACGCUCAGGUGCGAAAGCGUGGGGAGCAAACAGGAUUAGAUACCCUGGUAGUCCACGCCGUAAACGAUGUCGAUUUGGAGGUUGUGCCCUUGAGGCGUGGCUUCCGGAGCUAACGCGUUAAAUCGACCGCCUGGGGAGUACGGCCGCAAGGUUAAAACUCAAAUGAAUUGACGGGGGCCCGCACAAGCGGUGGAGCAUGUGGUUUAAUUCGAUGCAACGCGAAGAACCUUACCUGGUCUUGACAUCCACAGAACUUAGCAGAGAUGCUUUGGUGCCUUCGGGAACUGUGAGACAGGUGCUGCAUGGCUGUCGUCAGCUCGUGUUGUGAAAUGUUGGGUUAAGUCCCGCAACGAGCGCAACCCUUAUCCUUUGUUGCCAGCGGUUAGGCCGGGAACUCAAAGGAGACUGCCAGUGAUAAACUGGAGGAAGGUGGGGAUGACGUCAAGUCAUCAUGGCCCUUACGACCAGGGCUACACACGUGCUACAAUGGCAUAUACAAAGAGAAGCGACCUCGCGAGAGCAAGCGGACCUCAUAAAGUAUGUCGUAGUCCGGAUUGGAGUCUGCAACUCGACUCCAUGAAGUCGGAAUCGCUAGUAAUCGUAGAUCAGAAUGCUACGGUGAAUACGUUCCCGGGCCUUGUACACACCGCCCGUCACACCAUGGGAGUGGGUUGCAAAAGAAGUAGGUAGCUUAACCUUCGGGAGGGCGCUUACCACUUUGUGAUUCAUGACUGGGGUGAAGUCGUAACAAGGUAACCGUAGGGGAACCUGCGGUUGGAUCACCUCCUU